GCCCUCUCAAAAGCUAAUAACCCCAAGCUAGUCUUUCUCUGUGAGACUAGGCAGGAUUCAGCGAAGGUGGAGAAGUUGAAGUGGCGACUCGACUUAAAGGGCUUCCAUGGUGUCAGUAGCGAUGGACGGAGCGGCGGACUAGCUUUGUUUUGGGAUGAGUCUCUCUCAGUUACGGUGCUCGAAUCUUGCAAUAGCUUCAUUGAUGUUCGUGUUCAGGAUGGAGGCUCCGGUGUUUUAUGGAGAGGCACCUUUGUAUAUGGGGAGCCGAGAGUGCACUAG
Molecule: ribosomal RNA, 279 nt
Filed under: Triticum aestivum (bread wheat)
Lineage: Eukaryota; Viridiplantae; Streptophyta; Magnoliopsida; Poales; Poaceae
Description: partial small subunit ribosomal RNA
Source: RNAcentral